RNAcentral lists this ribosomal RNA (2328 nucleotides) under Triticum aestivum (bread wheat). RNAcentral's name for it is "partial small subunit ribosomal RNA". The record is from RNAcentral. Lineage: Eukaryota; Viridiplantae; Streptophyta; Magnoliopsida; Poales; Poaceae.
AUGGGUGUGGGAUACCUGACAGUUCAGGAAUACAACUCUGAUGAAAGGAAGAUCUUCUCUAAGCACUUCACUAGGGUGAUGUUCCGAGUCAAUGCCCUCCUUGUGGUGAACGCCAUCCUGAUGGGAGUCAUGGUUGUCCUAGGUGCAUACGGUCGCUAUCGCCGCCAUCCAUUGACCCGCUACAUUUUCUUGGGUGCCACUGCAUUGUUCAUUCCCAUAAUCUCCUAUGUCCUAUCUGACAUUGGUAAUCAGAAUGGCCUUAUCCUUUUUGACGAUGGAGAAAAGAUAGUAGGCCGCAUGUGCAAUGCAAGUACCCACAUGAAUCUAGUCUUAAUAUGGACUGGUCUUGUUCAAAUGGUUGGUAUCAGCACCACUUUGGUAGUGGUCAGUGAUCCUAGAGAAGGGCGAAACAUUGGUCCAUAUGUGGCACUACUUGUGCAAGCAAUGUGGACUUCCUACCUGAUGGUCUAUAACACAGGGUUGGAUUAUUAUACAUCCAUCGACCUGGGAGGUACUACUACUGAUACCUACAUCAAGUGGUCUCUGGUAAAUGUAUUUUCUCCAACAGGAUUGGUGAUUGUCCCACCAUUUGCUCUCACCUUUGCAAAAUUACUUUUCAAGUGUUUUGUGUGGCACAAGGCCAGAAAAUCACUAGCAAUUGGAUGCAAUCCCCGUCUUAUUGUUGGAUACAUGGAGCAGCUACAUGACGCCGACAUGACAAAUGAUUAUGGGGAUAUACCUCCUCCACUAAUAGUAAUGGGCGAAGACACAAUAUCUGUGGAUAAGGAGCCUCAUGGUUAUAGCUUUGCACUUAUCCCCAAUAGAGGCGGCUUAGUGACCCUUGACAAAGUUUGGCAGCUGGAUGACAUGCAUGAUCUCAAGUUGACAUCACAUCUCAAAGAUGUAUGCCUCUCCUUCGCACUGUCCAAGCUUUUAAGGUGUCGGUUCGCCAGGUACACAAAUGCUAAGACUGGCUUCACCAAAGCUUCUAGCUUUUUACGGAAUAUGUUACUCGAGGAUAGCAAUGAUGAGAGGGUACUUCAACUGAUUGAAUAUGAGCUUUCUUUUCUUCAUGAUGUUUAUUUUUCAUCACUGGUAAUCACAUAUUCAGAGAGCAGGAUGCCCAUACUAAGCAUAUUGAUUUCACUCUCAGGCAUCGGCUACUGCUUACUUUUUACUAUGGCCAGAGUAUAUCUUCCAUUUAUUAUGGCAGAUCGAUCAACUGCAUCUUCCGAGCUGAUAUCUUGCUUGUAUUGGUGCCUUCAAUUCGAGGGAGAACAGCAAGGUACCACAACACACCUACGCGGUCAGGACUUUGGAAGUCCAGCAUUUGACCUUGUACCGAUUGUUGUACUUGUUGCACUCGUUGUGCUUGCUGAGAUAAGAGAGACUGCUUUUUACGUUUGUUCUAACUGGACAAAAGUAGCCCUAAUCUGCGCCCACAUAAACCAUCCUUCUUGGAAGCAAUCUCCUAUCAUGCAGAAAUGUAUCAGGCAUGUGUUGCAGUGUAGAUGCAAGAUAUUAAACCAUUGGGAAGACACGAUGAACCAAUGUUCAAUACUGGUGCUACACCCAAGGAAUACUCCAAUGGGUCUGCUUCGUCGUCUUAAACCUGGUCAGAAGGUCAAGGUGCCAAGGGCGGUGAAAGCUGGUAUCAUGAAUGCAUUGAGAAGCUAUGAGAGAAGCAGAAACAAUAACCGCAUGCCAUCUCUGUGCCCGAGGCCGCAGUUGAAGACCGGCGACAACCUCCUUUGGGUGGUCGAUGGCACAAAAGGUAUAGCCAAGACCAUUCUUGUGUGCCACAUCGCCACAAGCAUUCUUGAACUCAGGUCAGCUGGAUCAUGUCAACCUCUCUCUGACCAUAAGACCGCUGCCAUUCACCUGUCCCGGUAUUGCGCCUACCUGGUGGCCUAUUCCCCUGAGCUGCUUCCAGAGGACGACGAGUGGUGCAAGAGCUUGUACAAGACCGUCAAGAAGAAGGCCGAGCACAUCCUCGCCGGCAUGCCAACACCUGAAGUGGAUUAUCAACCGUUGGUAGAGCUGAUGAGCGCCUCACAGAAUCAUGAGGUGCUCAAGGAUGGUACCAAGCUCGGACAACAGUUGGCGGAGCUGAACCAAGGAGAGGCCAACACAGCGUGGGAGCUCCUCGCCGGCUUUUGGUCGGAGAUGAUGCUGUACAUCGCUCCAUCAGACAACAUUGACGGUCACUCGGAGGCCAUCGCCCGCGGCGGCGAGCUCAUAACGCUCGUAUGGGCAUUGCUCGCACACCUGGGGAUUUUCAGUAGAGCCGCCGGCGACCCGGCCAGCAUCACUGGCGAAAGUGUGUAG